CGAACGGGUGAGUAACACGUGAGUAACCUGCCCACAACUUUGGGAUAACGCUAGGAAACUGGUGCUAAUACUGGAUAUGUGCUCCUGCUGCAUGGUGGGGGUUGGAAAGCUCCGGCGGUUGUGGAUGGACUCGCGGCCUAUCAGCUUGUUGGUGGGGUAGUGACCUACCAAGGCGGCGACGGGUAGCCGGCCUGAGAGGGUGACCGGCCACAUUGGGACUGAGAUACGGCCCAG
Molecule: ribosomal RNA, 234 nt
Filed under: uncultured Actinomycetales bacterium
Lineage: Bacteria; Bacillati; Actinomycetota; Actinomycetes; Actinomycetales
Description: partial 16S ribosomal RNA
Rfam family: Bacterial small subunit ribosomal RNA
Source: RNAcentral